This is a long non-coding RNA of Ipomoea triloba (trilobed morning glory), 2779 nucleotides long. RefSeq lists it as uncharacterized. The record is from RefSeq and is a predicted model, not a curated record. NCBI's taxonomy places the organism in Eukaryota, Viridiplantae, Streptophyta, Magnoliopsida, Solanales, Convolvulaceae. The transcript has 2 exons.
CGUAGCUGGAGGCGCUCUCUCUUCUCGGCGCUGAUUCAUAUUUUUCGCACAUUUGAAAUCAAAACUACUCUUUCUUCUUCUUCUUCUUCUUCUUUUUUUUUUUUUUUUCUUUUUUUGAUCAGCUUGUUUAUAGUUUUUGUUUGUUCGGGAUUCUACUUUGAUAUUUGUCGGUUAAGAAAAUUGUUUUUCUUUUGCUGUAUAUUGAUUGAAUCUGUGCAGUUAUGAGAUUAAUAACUGAAAGAUUAUGCCUUUCUGAUGGAUGCUGUAUGGUGGCCAGGAUUUUGGCGUCCUAAAACUGUUACUCAGGCAACCCAUUUGAUUUUCUUGAUUUUUUAUUUUUUUUUGGUAAUUAGGGUUAGGGUUUUCGCCUUUUAUUUCUUGUUGAUUAUCUUGUUCCAUGGGUUUUGAUCCCGGAAUGGGAAGAAAGAGAUGUGGGAAUACCGGUGAUGACAGCAUAAGGCAUGAGUGACAACAACAAAUAUUGCGCUUCCCCAGUAUUGGGGGUUGUUGUUUGCUAGGAUUAAUGUGCCAAAAUGCUAAUCUGAGGUAUAUUAUAGCUUUGGUUUUCGCAUUUCAUUUUUUUCUAGUUGGUUCUCCUGUUCCAUGGGUUUUGGUUCCAAGAGGGAAGAAAGAACAAUGGAAAUGCCGGUGAUGACAGUAGAAAGGCUUGAGCGGCAACAACAAAUAUUGCGCUCCCCAGUUUUGGGGGUUGUUGUUAGCAAGGAUUAAUGUGCCAAAAUGCUAAUCUGAGGCAUUUGAUUGUUUUGGUUUUGGUACCAGACCAGAUUGUUGCUAAUGUUGCUUUGUGAAUUCUUUGGUCUUUGUCCAAAACAGAUUUUAAUUAUUAUGAGAUAAUGGAUUUCUGUUUCUCAUAGUAAAAACAAAAGGAUGAUGCCUCAAUAUUGUGUCUAGUAAGUAAAUGUGAACUAGUACUCUGCUAGCUGCUUUUACCACUUAUGGAGUAAUUAAAAAAAAAUUAGUUGCUGCUUAUUGCUAUCUGUCAUGUUUUGUUUGGCUUGAUAAUAGAUGAAAAAAAUGGUGAUACUGCUGAACUUUUUGGGAGUUGUUCAACAGAAUGUGAAAGUUAAGAAAUAUAUUGAAGUGCUUAAUGAGGAUAUGGAGGCUGCAUAGAGCAACCAUCCUUCAUUAUUUAUGCAGGUUCUAAUUCCAUUUCAUCACUGUACAUCAUGCAAGGAAUUCAUGUUCUUAUUCUUGUUUUGCCAUUCUACUUAGUUUCCUAUUUAGUAAGUUUCUAAGCUAUUAAAAAACUGACCUGCAUUAUAUGACUAGUACAACUCCAUUUUAGCUCCAAUUAGACAUGUAGUAUACUAGUCUGGCUCCCUGGUCCAGAAUCUUAUUACUUUAUUCACUCAAACUUGGGCUUUCAAUGGGGUUAGUGCCAUUAAUCCAUUAUCACAGUGCCAAACGGGAGUGACAAACUACAAAUCACAUUACUAGUCUGGCUUCCUGGCCAAGAGUCCUAUCAUUUAUUCACUCAAACUUGGGAUUUCAAUGCGGUACUUAGCGUCAUUAUCUCAGUGCCAAACGAGAGUGGCAGACUACAAAUCAUAUACUCAAAACUGCCCUUACGCCAUGAAAGGCAAGAUGGCAGAAAAGGUCAUCUUAUCUGUCUGAAAGGCUGAAUCUUAGCUCUUUUCCUUCUCUUUCUCCUCCUACAAGGGGUAAAAAGCCCUAAACAGCUUACAGGCUGUCAUCUUCCUCCGAUAGGAUAAUUUGUCUAAGGGCUGGCUCUCCCUGAGUCAUCGCAGGACUUUACAAACAUUCUUGUCUCGAAUUGCUUUUUUAAGCAUAUGGGGUUUGAGAGGCAUUUUGUGGUUAGUCUGUCACUGCGCCAAUUGUUGGAUGCAAUUUGUAAGAGGGACAGGUACAUGGGCAUGUCUUUACAUGACCUAACUGAUCAUGGUGUUGCGAUAAGGUUCACUCCAAGUUAACUUUUUUUCCCUUACUCCCCCUGCUCCUGUCUACUAUUAUCUAGCCAAUGGAAAAGAGAGAAUGAAAAUGCGUUAUGCAUUCUUCUAUAGGCAAUAGCAGAAAAGUCUACAACUAGAUCCUAAACACAUAGAAUUGAAGAAAGCAUAUUUUGGCUUGCAAAACCUACCAAAGAAGAGCAAAAAUUCAAGCCUCCUUGAACAAAGCCUUUUGAAAUGGGAACAAUUUUCCAGAGAUGUGAAGUGAAAACCUUACCGAAAGAUUGGGAGGGAGCUGUGGCAGUCUGGCAGACGGUAAAAUUAGCAGCUGAAAAGGCUCCACAGAUUUGCGUUUCCUAUUUUUCUUCUGAAAAUUUUAUCAUUGCUUGCCUCAAGUACUAUGCUGACGUAAUUCUAAGCUAUCACAAAGACUCAAGCAACAACCUAUGAAAACAUUUCCCAUUUGCUUCAGGUUCAUGACAAAGAUUCUGUCAAAUACAUUUGGUUUGGGUUGGCUGACAAUGCAUUCUGGUUACCAGAAGGCUCCAAAAGCUGGUACAGCAAUUUUGGUUAAAGACUCAAUCAGUGUAAAAUGCAAUGUUUCUUCCAUGUUCCUGAUUCUAUUGUGUACCUGAGAUGACAACACUACCCGAUUGGGAAUUUGAUUCAUAGGAAAUUAUUACUCCUUACCCCAUCUUAGAAUCUGAAUUCAUAUUGCAAUUAGCUCCCUGUCACCUCAAGACAUCAAUGGGGGUCAGGGAGACAUUUGAAAAAGCCUAUUUGUUCUUUGUUCCGUGGGUGGAACAAAUUCCCCUUGACAACAUAAAUAACAGCUAUACAUUUCUUGGGAA